Molecule: ribosomal RNA, 478 nt
Filed under: uncultured bacterium
Lineage: Bacteria
Description: partial 16S ribosomal RNA
Rfam family: Bacterial small subunit ribosomal RNA
Source: RNAcentral
GACGAACGCUGGCGGCGUGCUUAACACAUGCAAGUCGAACGGUAAGGCCCUUCGGGGUACACGAGUGGCGAACGGGUGAGUAACACGUGGGUGAUCUGCCCUGCACUUCGGGAUAAGCCUGGGAAACUGGGUCUAAUACCGGAUAGGACCACUGCCUGCAUGGGUGGUGGUGGAAAGCUUGUGCGGUGUGGGAUGGGCCCGCGGCCUAUCAGCUCGUUGGUGGGGUGAUGGCCUACCGAGGCGACGACGGGUAGCCGGCCUGAGAGGGUGACCGGCCACACUGGGACUGAGAUACGGCCCAGCAUCCUACGGGAGGCAGCAGUGGGGAAUAUUGCACAAUGGGCGCAAGCCUGAUGCAGCGACGCCGCGUGAGGGAUGACGGCCUUCGGGUUGUAAACCUCUUUCAGCACCGACGAAGCGCAAGUGACGGUAGGUGCAGAAGAAGGACCGGCCAACUACGUGCCAGCCGCCGCAGUAA